GUAACAAGGUUUCCGUAGGUGAACCUGCGGAAGGAUCAUUGUCGAAUCCUGCAAAGCAAAACGACCCGCGAACAUGUAACAACAAUCUAGCUUCAUGGUGGUUGGCCUAUGGUUUGACCCUUGUGAAGCGUUGUCGAUGUUUGUUCAUUGUGACCUCUUUGGGGUCUCUUGGACUUUCCAUCGACACAUCAACAAACCCCGGCACGGCAUGUGCCAAGGAAACCUAAACUAAAGAACGCCAUGUUUCUUGAUGCCCGCAAGGGUGUCUGAAUUGAACGUGGUUACUUUUUAAUUAUAAACGACUCUCGGCAACGGAUAUCUCGGCUCACGCAUCGAUGAAGAACGUAGCAAAAUGCGAUACUUGGUGUGAAUUGCAGAAUCCCGUGAACCAUCGAGUUUUUGAACGCAAGUUGCGCCCGAAGCCAUUUGGUUGAGGGCACGCCUGCCUGGGCGUCACACAUCAUGUCACCCCCACCAAGCCUCCCCUUAGAGGAUGCGUUGGAUGGUGGUGGAGAUUGACCUCCCGUGCCCUUGGUGCGGUUGGUUAAAAAGUAGUCCUCAUUGACGGAUGCAYGAUUAGUGGUGGUUGAUAAGACCUUCGUCUUGCGUCGUGUGUUUUGUCAUAAUGGUGGACGUUUUUUAAUACCCCCAUGUGUUGUCUUGUGGUGAUACUUUGAUYGCGACCCCAGGUCAGGCGGGACUACCCGCUGAGUUUAA
This 717-nucleotide ribosomal RNA is filed under the name Anisopappus schinzii. Its description in RNAcentral is "eukaryotic LSU rRNA". Lineage: Eukaryota; Viridiplantae; Streptophyta; Magnoliopsida; Asterales; Asteraceae. The record is from RNAcentral.